GAUGAACGCUGGCGGCGUGCCUAAUACAUGCAAGUCGAGCGAACAGAUGAGGAGCUUGCUCCUCUGACGUUAGCGGCGGACGGGUGAGUAACACGUGGAUAACCUACCUAUAAGACUGGGAUAACUUCGGGAAACCGUAGCUAAUACCGGAUAAUAUAUUGAACCGCAUGGUUCAAUAGUGAAAGACGGUUUUGCUGUCACUUAUAGAUGGAUCCGCGCCGCAUUAGCUAGUUGGUAAGGUAACGGCUUACCAAGGCAACGAUGCGUAGCCGACCUGAGAGGGUGAUCGGCCACACUGGAACUGAGACACGGUCCAGACUCCUACGGGAGGCAGCAGUAGGGAAUCUUCCGCAAUGGGCGAAAGCCUGACGGAGCAACGCCGCGUGAGUGAUGAAGGUCUUCGGAUCGUAAAACUCUGUUAUUAGGGAAGAACAAAUGUGUAAGUAACUAUGCACGUCUUGACGGUACCUAAUCAGAAAGCCACGGCUAACUACGUG
RNAcentral lists this ribosomal RNA (497 nucleotides) under uncultured bacterium. Its description in RNAcentral is "partial 16S ribosomal RNA". It matches the Rfam family "Bacterial small subunit ribosomal RNA", at positions 28 to 507 of the family's 1533-position model. The record is from RNAcentral.